GACGAACGCUGGCGGCGUGCUUAACACAUGCAAGUCGAACGCUGAAGCCCUUUCGGGGGUGGAUGAGUGGCGAACGGGUGAGUAACACGUGGGUAAUCUGCCCUGCACUCUGGGAUAAGCCUUGGAAACGGGGUCUAAUACCGGAUAGGACACAUCGCCGCAUGGUGUGUGUGUGGAAAGUUCCGGCGGUGCAGGUUGAGCCCGCGGCCUAUCAGCUUGUUGGUGGGGUGAUGGCCUACCAAGGCGACGACGGGGAGCCGGCCUGGGAGGGUGCCCGGCAGACUGGGACGGAGACACGGCCCAGACUCCUGCGGGGGGCAGCAGUGGGGAAUCUUGCGCAAUGGGCGAAAGCCUGACGCAGCAACGCCGCGUGGGGGAUGACGGCCUUCGGGUUGUAAACCUCUUUCGACCGGGACGAAGGGUGACUGACGGUACCGGUAGAAGAAGCACCGGCUAACUACGUGCCAGCAGCCGCCGUAA
This 480-nucleotide ribosomal RNA is filed under the name uncultured bacterium. RNAcentral's name for it is "partial 16S ribosomal RNA". It matches the Rfam family "Bacterial small subunit ribosomal RNA", at positions 28 to 523 of the family's 1533-position model. The record is from RNAcentral.